This 500-nucleotide ribosomal RNA is filed under the name uncultured Glomus. RNAcentral's name for it is "SSU rRNA". It matches the Rfam family "Eukaryotic small subunit ribosomal RNA", at positions 569 to 1074 of the family's 1831-position model. Lineage: Eukaryota; Fungi; Glomeromycota; Glomeromycetes; Glomerales; Glomeraceae. The record is from RNAcentral.
AGCAGCCACGGUAAUUCCAGCUCCAAUAGCGUAUAUUAAAGUUGCUGCAGUUAAAAAGCUCGUAGUUGAAUUUCGGGACUAAUAUGUCGGUCGUGCCUCGGUACGUACUGGCUUAUUGGUUUCUCCUUUCUGAAGAACCAUGAUGUCAUUUAUUUGGUGUCGUGGGGAAUCAGGACUGUUACUUUGAAAAAUUAGAGUGUUUAAAGCAGGCUCACGCUUGAAUACAUUAGCAUGGAAUAAUGAAAUAGGACGUUUGAUUCUAUUUUGUUGGUUUCUAGGAUCGACGUAAUGAUUAAUAGGGAUAGUUGGGGCAUUAGUAUUCAAUUGUCAGAGGUGAAAUUCUUGGAUUUAUUGAAGACUAACUACUGCGAAAGCAUUUGCCAAGGAUGUUUUCAUUAAUACAAGAACGAAAGUUAGGGGAUCGAAGACGAUCAGAUACCGUCGUAGUCUUAACCAUAAACUAUAAGCCGACUAGGGAUCGGAUGAUGUUAAUUUUAAUG